GAACUUUCCAGAGAUGGAUUGGUGCCUUCGGGAACUUAGAUACAGGUGCUGCAUGGCUGUCGUCAGCUCGUGUCGUGAGAUGUUGGGUUAAGUCCCGCAACGAGCGCAACCCUUCUCCUUAUUUGCCAGCGGGUCAUGCCGGGAACUUUAAGGAUACUGCCAGUGACAAACUGGAGGAAGGCGGGGACGACGUCAAGUCAUCAUGGCCCUUACGGCCAGGGCUACACACGUGCUACAAUGGUCGGUACAAAGGGUUGCUACCUCGCGAGAGGAUGCUAAUCUCAAAAAGCCGAUCGUAGUCCGGAUCGCAGUCUGCAACUCGACUGCGUGAAGUCGGAAUCGCUAGUAAUCGCGGAUCAGAAUGCCGCGGUGAAUACGUUCCCGGGCCUUGUACACACCGCCCGUCACACCAUGGGAGUUUGUUGCACCAGAAGUAGGUAGUCUAACCGCAAGGAGGACGCUUACCACGGUGUGGCCGAUGACUGGGGUGAAGUCGUAACAAGGUAGGCGUAGAUGA
RNAcentral lists this ribosomal RNA (517 nucleotides) under uncultured bacterium. Its description in RNAcentral is "bacterial SSU rRNA". It matches the Rfam family "Bacterial small subunit ribosomal RNA", at positions 993 to 1509 of the family's 1533-position model. The record is from RNAcentral.